AGUUUUGUACAUAAGGUUCCGAGUGACCUUAAAUUUUGAGUUAUUUAUUUAAAAUUUAAGCUUAUUUAUUUAAUCCCAAUUUAAUACGUAUUGCUAAUUGCUAGAGGGUUCACAAUAUCGUCAAGCCAUGUUUGCAUGUUUCAAAAUGUUUUAUGGUUUGAUAUAAAAUUGAAGUAGUCUCAGUCAACGUACAUAUAUUUGCUUUUAAGAGCUGACAAUAUAUACGUGCUGCAUGCAUACCUGUUAGUCUUAAAUUGUGUGAAAAAUAAUUUCUUGCCAUGCAGGGAUCUGGGGGAGUUUGGGAAGUCUUUGAGAGCCUACACGGCUACCUUACUGAAACACCCAGUCCAGGAAUCCCCAUAUUGACUGUCAUGGAUGUGCAGGUUUAUUGGAAAGGUUCACAACUCAAUUGAGUCAGAUCUUGAAUUCCAUCAGCAUGUAUAUAAAAUGUACAAUGUAAUUUAACAAGGUUUGUCUUAACAACCGUGAUUGCCUAAUUAGAAGAACCAUCCACAAGGAUAACUGCAUGAUUUGACAAAAUAAAUUGCAGUCAGUUUACAGGGAACAAACAGUGAACUUCUUCACAAGACAAUAAGACAAUUGAUAUGAAGUCAAAUGUAGUUCAUUUAGUAGUAGUUCCAUUAAAUGAAGUUCAGCCAAUUAUUGUUUGAUUCACAGGAAGAUUCUGAUGAUGAUGAAGAGAGACAGGAAGAGGAGGAAAGUGACCGGGUUGUUGACAUGUAAUUUAAUUAAUUGUCAAUAAGCAUUUAAUUUAAAGUGAAGUGGUGUCAAUGACCGUUUCCUAAAUGUAAUUUGCAACUGCAACGCACUUGUUUAUGGCUAACACGAUCAGGGUGGCAAAGUAGGGGUCUAGUUAUCCAUCCAUCCCAACCCAUACUGUUGGGUUGUCUAAUCCUAACCCUAACUCCAAUCUGCAAGGUGCUCUUUUGCAUGUACAAUUAACUCUUGAAAUUGAUCACAUGAUAAGUUGUUGUGCCAGUUUGCAAAGCGGAUGUUUUGGCAACUCAGGUAGUUUAGUUAAUUGUACCAUCCACUGUCUCCAAAAUCAUUUUCAACCUUAGUAGUACCAAAAAUUAUUAUUCAUGCUCACUUUCUUGAUAGAAAUCUUGACCUCAUUAUCUAAUUGUUUAAUAGAAAUAUGUAUUAGCAUGAGGUGUUGAAGUAAUGAUGGCCCAAGCAAAGAGAAUUUUCAUUUUGAACAUCAAAGUAAGCAACAGAGUUAUCAAUAAGGGCUGUACCCCGUAGCACCGGUUACGGCUGAACAUGUUGGAUGGGUCCUUGAUGUUAUGGUUGAACUUUGCUGUUGUAGGUUCGAUUCAUCCAUAAAGUAACAAAUUUGUGACAGGUGUGGAGAUCAAGGCUACAGUUGAAUGAAAACUUAAUGACAGCCAUGAGCAAGUUGUUUUCUUUUUUUAAGUCUUGGUACUUUCUAAAUGAAAUAGAAAACAUGUUCUCCAUGAUUCCAUUGAUUUAUAGAACCACUCAUGAAAAUUUUGAAGAACUUGAAAAAUGUUAGAAACACUCGGCUAAUGGCUCCUGUUCCAACAACAUUUCUAGUUCUCCCAAACGUUCACUCAUGCUUCCAUAACUUGAUAGAAAAAUUGUACUGCUUAAUUUGUAUUGCUUAAUUGUAUAGUGGUGAUAAAAUAGUGUAUGACUUAGCAAUUUUAAUGUUUUUAAAUUGAGUCAUUGUUUAAUUAAUUAUCAUUUCUUUGUUAAUUUCAUUCAUUUUAAGAACAAAGUCAAUACUUAAUGUGGUUUUAUAGAGAUCUCUUGUCAUGAGUUGAUUUUGUUUUGGACAGGUUCUUUCCUUUACCAGAAAUUUGGCUGGUUUGGUAAGGCAAAAUUUUCAGGGUAUUCCAAUUUCAGCUCAGGGACAAUCAAAUGAAUCAGCUGUCCUAGCUUUAAGCACUGGGAGCAACCCAAAGGGGCAGGUUUACAAUUUCAAUGUGGUGCUACUGGAUCCCAGUGAUGAUUCAAUUCCCAGGGGUACUGUCAGGCAAGAUCUUCUUAACACUGGCAGGAUUGUCCAGAUAUCUUUGGGUAGGAGAACACAAGAAGCAGGAGCACUGAGAGCCCUGAAUGGUGCCCUCCCUUUCCUACACUGUACAAAACAGGUUUUAUUAAUUCUGAACCUAUUAAUGUUUUCUAACAACAGUUUCAUAUAACAGAAAAAUGCAUCAGCCACAUUGAUAACAUUUGAUGAUAACUGUGGUAACCUGGCAGUAUGUAUAUUGGUUUUAAAAAUAAGAUUAGUCCAGCCAAGACAAGAAGAUCAGAAUCCAAUUAAAGACGGGCUCCAAUGGACAAAUUCUAUGGAAACUAUUUAAAACAAUCACCUUGUUUUCAGCAAUUUUUUUUCAGCUCUGUAGUAUUGGUCUGCAGUACAAAAUAAAUUGAAAUGCUUUUAAUCAUGGGUAAUAUCACUGUGCCUUUUGCCUGGAGAGUACUGCUUUGUAAUUCUCGCGACUGAUAAAAGCUCAAGAAAUGUGUUGAUCCCUGCUGUCCGGCCAUCUUCAGGGUUUUCUGCCAGGGAAUGGAAGAAAGUGUGUGGCCAGGGUACACUGUACCUGCGCUUAAUAGAGAGCAGCCCUAGUGAUCAUGAGGAUCGGCCACCUAGACCAUCGGCAUCACGAGGAGGUGGGUGUGAAUUUGUUAUAUCAAUUGAAUAAUGUAUGUAAAUCAGUAUUAAAAUUCUGAUGCUGCAAUGUCAAGUAAAAUAACUAUGGCUACUCAGAUGGCAGGGUUUAAA
This is a long non-coding RNA of Orbicella faveolata, 2773 nucleotides long. NCBI's taxonomy places the organism in Eukaryota, Metazoa, Cnidaria, Anthozoa, Scleractinia, Merulinidae. The record is from RefSeq and is a predicted model, not a curated record.